This 147-nucleotide non-coding RNA is filed under the name Pan troglodytes (chimpanzee). The record is from Rfam by way of RNAcentral. Lineage: Eukaryota; Metazoa; Chordata; Mammalia; Primates; Hominidae.
GCCGGGUAUGGUGGUGGGUGCCUGUAAUCCCAGCUACUCGGGAGGCUGAGGCAGGAGAAUCCCUUGAACCCAGGAGGUGGAGGUUGCAGUGAGCUGAGAUCGGCCACUGUACUCCAGCCUGGGCGACAGAGCGAGACUCUGUCUCAA